CUCCGGUUGAUCCUGCCGGACCUGACUGCUAUCGGAUUGGUACUAAGCCAUGCGAGUCGUUGUAGCAAUACAAGGCGGACGGCUCAGUAACACGUAGUCAACCUAACCUAUGGACGUGGAUAACCUCGGGAAACUGAGAAUAAACCGCGAUAGAUCAUUAUGCCUGGAAUGGCUUAUGGUUCAAACAAUUUAUUGCCGUAGGAUGGGACUGCGGCCUAUCAGCUUGUUGGUGGGGUAAUGGCCCACCAAGGCUAUAACAGGUACGGGCUCUGAGAGGAGAAGCCCGGAGAUGGGUACUGAGACACGGACCCAGGCCCUAUGGGGCGCAGCAGGCGAGAAACCUUAGCAAUGUGCGAAAGCACGACUAGGUUAAUCCGAGUGAUUUCUGUUGAAGAAAUCUUUUGUCAGUCGUAAAACCACAGACGAAUAAGGGGUGGGCAAGUCUGGUGUCAGCCGCCGCGGUAAUACCAGCACCUCGAGUGGUCAGGAGGUUUAUUGGGCCUAAAGCAUCCGUAGCCGGCUACGCAAGUCUCCGGUUAAAUCCAGCUGCUCAACAGAUGGGCUGCCGGAGAUACUACAUAGCUAGGGAGCGGGAGAGGUAGACGGUAUUCUGUGGGUAGGGGUAAAAUCCACUGAUCCAUAGAGGACCACCAGUGGCGAAGGCGGUCUACCAGAACGCGUUCGACGGUGAGGGAUGAAAGCUGGGGGAGCAAACCGGAUUAGAUACCCGGGUAGUCCCAGCUGUAAACGAUGCAAACUCGGUGAUGCAUUGGCUUAUGGCCAAUGCAGUGCCGCAGGGAAGCCGUUAAGUUUGCCGCCUGGGAAGUACGGACGCAAGUCUGAAACUUAAAGGAAUUGGCGGGGGAGCA
This 869-nucleotide ribosomal RNA is filed under the name uncultured archaeon. Its description in RNAcentral is "bacterial SSU rRNA". It matches the Rfam family "Archaeal small subunit ribosomal RNA", at positions 1 to 878 of the family's 1478-position model. The record is from RNAcentral.